Molecule: long non-coding RNA, 14297 nt
Organism: Dermochelys coriacea (leatherback sea turtle)
Lineage: Eukaryota; Metazoa; Chordata; Testudines; Dermochelyidae
Exons: 3
Source: RefSeq, a predicted model, not a curated record
AAGAAGUAUCUCCUUUUAAAAUGGAAUUCUUUAUUGGAUAGAGGGGUGAAAAAUAAGUCGUCCAAUUGCUAUUUCAAUAUAGUUUUGGGAAAGAUAAGUUUGUAUGGUCUGUUUAUUUUAGAAGUUAAAAUACAUUUUACACUGUUUCAUAUAUUGCCUCCCUUGUUUUGUUGCAAAAAAUUAUUAUAAUAGUUUUUAUGUUCUUAUAUUUUCUUUGUAGCUGAUUUAAAUCCAGUUGAGGAGACAGUACCAUAGAUCAGUCACUGUUUAAUGCAAUAGAAUUUUGUAGUAAGGGGAAUUAAGCGGUACAGUUUUAACUACACAUGGUGGGAUCUUUAAAAGCACUUGAUAUAGGCCUACCUCUGCUCAUGCUAAAAUUGAUGGUAAAUUGGGCAAAGGCUGAUUGCUUUUGAAAAUCCUACCCACAGUUGCUUAGACAGGGAACUGAAAUAUGAUAAAUAUUUUAUGUUAGGUAAUAUAAACAAUGCUUGUGGUCUAUCCAGCAUGGAAAGCAUAUUGUACACUGUAAUGGGAAAAGCUUUGUUUUCUAACUAAUCUCCCAAAAUUGGUCCACUCAAGAGUCUUUAUGUGCCACGAUGCAAGAAAAAACAGUAAGGACAGGGAGAGAGUAUGGUACUGUCCUUAUUGAGGAUAUUCAUUUCAUUUUUAUCAAAGCCAUCUUAUGAUGCAUUAAGUGCACAUGCUGAUAACGUGGAUUUCCAAACCCUGACAAAAGAGUGCACAGUUAAUCUAAUGACCUGUAAUGAUUACUGAUUUUAUAAUAUGGAAUUGUAUGCUAUGUGCAAUGUGAUUGAAGAAUCGAAUUAUUGUUUCUUUGCAAAUUUUAUCAUACCAAGCCCAAAUUUGUUGUUGAGUAUUCCUGAAGCCAUCAUUAACUUAGAAGUACAGACUCUUCCUUGAAGAUGGAUGUACUGUGCAAUUUUUCAAAAACCAUUUCCUUUUAAAGACAUGUUGCCAUAUUCUAAUUUUUUGGUUUUUACAUAUGAGUAGCCACUGUGUUAGUGUUUAAAAAGGCCCUGGGUCAAGUUUUCCUCUUCCAAUCCAUCUAAUUAUCAACAUUACCUUGUAAAAGGUCAUUUUCUAUUAGAAUUGUCACACUAUGGACUCCUUAUGACAUUAAUUCUCCAUUGGUUGGCUUCAGGUAUUUACUGAUGACCAUCCCAGAGGGAUGUCUAGUUUAUAAAUGCGGCAAAGAGUCCUGUGGCACCUUUAUAGACUAACAGACAUAUUAGAGCAUAAGCUUUCGUGGGUGAAUACCAACUUUGUUGGAUGCAUGAUGAAGUGGGUAUUCACCCACGAAAGCUUAUGCUCCAAUAUGUCUGUUAGUCUGUAAGGUGCCACAGGACUCUUUAUCGCUUUUACAGAUCCAGACUAACCCGGCUACCCCUCUUAUAGUUUAUAAAUAUUACUCAAUCUUGCAAAUAGACUUCAACAUAAUAUAAACCUUAAUUGAGGUUUGUUUCUGUUCUCUCAUCUUGCACUCCUUUCCUAGAAUAGUUGCUUUUUAUUAAGGGGACAAAAUAUCUCUGCUGGACACACCUUCCAGGUGUGCAUUUGAUUUACUGCUUAGGUUACUGGCAGAAGAAUAUUUAUUACUGAAUUUUAGUAAGACUCCGUUAAGCUAUAAACCCUCAUAAGAAAUGUACUGUACGUUAUCAGAUACAUAUCUUUCUAAAUUGCCUUCAGUUCUUGUCUAUAGUAUUUGGAAGAAGUCUGUAUGAGAAAAGAGCUGGAUAUUUGUUUUUUGACAUGUGUGAUGUGAAUUAAUUUCUAAUGUCUGCUUAAUUUCCAGGAGGAAAUGAGAACACACAAAACUUCACACUUUCAUAAUCCCUAAAGUCACUGUAGUGUAAAUGUUAAGAAACAUUACACAUUCUUUCACAUGAUUUUCUGGCACAAUACUUCGUUUAGAAUCAUUUAUCCAAGAAAUUUAAAUCCUACCCAGAGAUCUGCAAACUAACUGCAUUUUGCAGAAUUUAGAUUCCAAACCCUUAAGACUGCUUGUGUAAGCAUUGUAUGGUAAAUGAAACAUUUGAUGUGUUCAGUUUUUGGAACUGUCACCUCUUGAAUGUAGAUUUAUAUUUGAUGUAAAUUUUACCCCUUACCAUUCAGAACAGUUAAAAUCCCAAAGUAGUUGGGAGUACCAAAUUAGCAAAAUGACACUGUUUCUUUUUCGUUAAGGAACACAAUGCUUAAACAAGAAAACAAAACAAAAACAAACAAAAAACUCCAAGCUCUGAUCUCCAAAAUAAAAUUUAAUGUUCACUGUGAAAUUUCAGGGAAGAGGCAGCAAUGACAAAAGAUAAUCAAAUGGGUAUGUGGGAGGGACUUGGUUGAGGAAUGACAAUUACCAAGGAGAGAGAAGUCCCACAAGAUAUUCUGCUUCAAAGUUCUAGGUAAACUUCUUACCUAAAAACACUUUUUACUAAUUAAUACUAUCAAUUUUGAAAAGUUUAACAAUUGCUUUAAAAUGUCAUGCACCCUCUUUGAAAAGUAAUAAUCUUCCAUGAUCAGAAUUUUUUUUUUUUUAGUGUAUGGGAUUGUGUGUCACAUACCACAGCAUCUUAAUGUUUCUGAAACUGCUGACUACAAAUGCUUUUGUAAAAACAGGCAUUUGCUUCAUAUUUCUGUGCCCAUAAUGCACCAACGUUUCUUGUAAACCCUGCAACUAAGGCUUUAAUUUUCCGAGGACAUCACUUCUGACCUCACUAACUAUUGUUCAUCCUUCGUUCUUAUCCUGUAUUAGUUUUUGCUCACAAAAUAGGGUUAUUUUUGUUUAGCGCCAGAACAGCUCAUCUUUCUGUCAUUACUAACUGUUUAAAGAGAAAUGGGUGAACACUUGAUUUCAACACUAUAGCACAGAAGUUGUCAGGCAGUCGCUGUGACAAUGCUGACCAUUGUCAUACAAUAGUUUGGCUACUUAAACUUUUCUUAUUUGUAAUGUUUGCUAUCGCAUAAAUUAUGCUCUUCAAAAAGAAGUCCAGGUGGAAAGCUGCUUUGUCCAACUUUCAGUCAUAAAUAUAGAGUUCUGUACAUAAAGACUAGAAAAAUCAUUACUGGUAAGCAUGAUUUUAUGUUGGAUUCAUGUACUGAAAGUUUUUUUUAAUAAUUGUCAUUGUUUCACUGAUUGUUACAAAGCAUGACCAAGAAUUGUUCUUGUAUUAAUUCAAGAAGCCAGCUGUUAAAGGUUUAGCUAAAACUUCUAUGAAAAAAGAUGUUGAGUAUUAAGUAAGAGUAUUAUGGCACUGGUUACAGACAGUACAUACUUUACCCUUCGUUUGUUUUAAGUAUCUUUUCAUAAAACAAAUCUGUUCAAUUACUGAUCAAUGGUAACUGUACAAAGCAGUUAUAGCCAGGCAGCUUUUACAAUGUAGACUCUACCCUUCUCCUUAAUCUGCUGGAUAUUAGUGACACUUAUUUCUUGAGCAGUUUUAAACUAAAUAUUCAGUGAGGUCUAGUGGAAUUAUGUACUUAAUAACUAAUUCUUGUUCUCUGGUUGCCUUGGGCUGUUUGCAGCAGUGUGUGUUUUGUAGACCAGUGGUUUUCAACCCCUUUUCGUUUGUGGACCCCUAAAAAAAUUUAAAUGGAGGUGUGAACCUCUGCGAAAUCUUAGACAUAGUCUACAAAUCCCCAAGGGUCUGCAGACCAUAGGUUGAAAACGACUGUUGUAGACUGACCUUGCAAGUCACAGACGCUUCUGUCUGUUAGUACUUAUGGUAUUUUAUCUGCCUGUUUUUUGGUGAAUAAAGAAACGUCCAAAAAUCUUACUAUACAUUCUGGUUCUAACAGAAAAAUGUAACCUGUUCUACAAUUAGGUUUUUCUCUGAUUUUUUUAUUUAAAAUGUAUCUUCAGAGGUGGAACUAACAAUGCCUUUGUCUAUUUUUAAAAUUGGUUUGGGGACUCUGUCUUUUUGUGCUUUCUGUAGGCCUGCAGCUGACUUGAGCACCCAUUCAACAUGGGAAGAACUGAAAUGGUUAGACAAGACUGAGGGUUGUCAUUAUUUCAGUUUGGAAAAAUAGGCAGUCCCAGCAGACAGUGUUGGGGAUUGGGAUAUUGGACAGAAAAAUAUUCAAAAUAUAAAAUUGAUACUAUGCGCCCUCCCCCCCCCCAACCUAAAGUACUGUUUGGGUCUGGCCACCCUAUCAGUGGAUAGAGCAGAAAUAGGAAUUCAGCAUAAGGGAGUGAAAGUCCUCAUUGGUAGAGAAAAACUUCCACGUGAAGAGAGACUGAAAGAUUGGGGCUAUUUGAAAGGUUGAUGAAAAACAAAGGAUAGAAAUACAACACUGUGCUAUAGAGGAAGAGGUAAAUGAGAGCUCUUAUUUAUCCUCCUAGCAUAAAAGAUCGGGGACAUUUUGCAACUCAAUGCCAUAUCUUGUGGAGGCUUAGGAGGAUUCAAAAAAGAUUAGACAAUUCUGGAAUAAAAAUACCCUAUCUCGUGUUAUUGUAGAUAACAAAUUGGAAAGAAUAUAAAAUCACCUUCCUGCUAAGGACUACAAGGAAACUUCUCCUCUGUGUAGAGUUAUUGUCUAAUUGUCUGCACCUUUGUCUGAAGUAUCAAAACGCUGCUGUUGAAAACAGGAUAAUGAAAUAGAUGGCCCACUAUCCUGAUCUAGUAUGGCAGUUACUAUGUUCUUAAGACUGUAAAAAGGCAAAAAAGCUUAAGUUUUAGCAGCCACUAAAUAAGUUUCCAAUAGCAGAGCAUAAAAUGAAAAGCUUGUCCUGUUUAUAGAAUAGUCAGUAAGUUGUGACUAGCGAAAUCUUGAUCUUCAGCUCAGCUUGCUGCAUAGCAUCAACUUAGAAUCAUAGAAUAUCAGGGUUGGAAGGGACCUCAGGAUGUCAUCUAGUCCAACCCCCUGCUCAAAAGCAGGACCAAUCCCCAAUUUUUGCCCCAGAUCCCUAAAUGGCCCCCUCAAGGAUUGAACUCACAACCCUGGGUUUAGCAGGCCAAUGUUCAAACCACUGAACUAUUCCUCCCCCAAGCAAUUGGUUAAUGGUUAAUUUAUUGCCAAGAGCCCAAAACAGCUGGUUUUGAAAUGUGUUCAGGCCACUUGUAAACUAGCUUUUGCUAUAACUUCAGCUGGCUUAAAUCUUGAACAAGUUUUGAAGCCAGUUAGAAUUUGGGGGAAGUUUCACCAUUGCAGGACAGGGCCUGACAAAGCUAUUAUCAGAGACAAGAGGGUUGAUAGAAGGGAACUAACUCAAAUGUAUGUUAGAAGAUAAACAGAAUUACACCUCACGAGGUCUCAGAAAGGAGUUUGAUCUGGGAAACCUUUGUAAUGAGGGUAUCUCUAGGCCUGUAAAGGGGAACUGAACUACUGCUAGAAAAUCCAAGAUGUAUGUUAAAUCACUGCCUGGAAAGCACUGAAAUUUUAUCUAAUUUAGGAUCUCAUCUCAUGAAUAACUAGAUCCAGUCUAGAAACCAACUGCUUACAAGCUUUGAGGGAUUCCUAUUGGCAGGAAACUUUUCCACUUGCUUCAAAGAAUAAGUGAAUCUGAAGGAUUGUGACUGUUGAAGCUAAAACUGCCCAGUCUCAAAACACUUAUGCUGCAUGCCCCUGGCUCCUAUGGAAAGGUGAGUGGCUAUGCAGAAAUACAUACUUAAGUCAAAUAUACCAGAAUGCCAGUCACAAGGCAGAAGUAGUAAUGUAGCAGAAUUUAGCCUCCGUUAAUUUUAAAUAGCAGUUAAAUUUCUGUCUGUGUUUGGACUGAAAUUGUCUUCCCUUUUCUGGAUCAGAAGAGAAUUGUUAAAUGUCCUAAAACUCCACGGUGUAACGCUAAAGACUGAGCUCCAAUAGUGAGGGUUGGUCUAUAAAACAGUCUCCAAACAAUGAUUAGUGAAACUAGUGAUCUAACAACUGUGGCGCUAGUACUCCAAUCCAUUGCAAUGUAUGGACCUUGAGUUUCUUGAAUGUAGUAAGUGCUUAUUUUUAAAUUUGGCUGUGAAAUGCUUUGAUAAACUCCCAUUGCCUUCAGUAGGAACAGGAUUUCACCCCUUAUGAAUUUAGUUUUCAUACAGCAUCAGUAUAAGCUUCCCCAUGCAACCCCAACAAUGUGCUGGAAUUCUAACCUGAAGGAACCACCUCUACUAUAGACAAAAUAUUUGAAGUCAUGCCCAUUCAGGCUUUGGUUUCUCAGCUAAGGCUAUCACUAAUGUUGCCAGUUAGCAUUAAGAGUGGCACUCAGCCAGCCCAAGAUUUCGCUUAACCUCUAAAGGGUAAAGCUGGUGGGAAUCCAAUGGUCACCAGAGUGGUCACUAGAGCCAUUUUCAGAUGGUGCCAUUUUUCAGUUACCAGUUGCCUGGGGUGAAUUUAAAUAGGUUUACUCCUCCAGGUCACCAAUUAUCAGACCCAAGACUUCCUCUUCCCUCCAUGACAGUUUGUUUAAAAAAAAAAAAACAAACAAAACCCACAACCCAAACCAAAUAAGCAUCAGUCUUGCUUUGGUUUAGAAUAGUAAAGACUAAGAUCUGAUGUAGCAACCAUGUGCCACUGACAGGCACUGAAAUGUCACUUAGCAUUAAAAGAUUGAAGUGGAUAAUCCCCUUCCCCCCACCCCAGUUACCAUUUACUGGAUUUAAGCUUGCUGUAUUUUCUUGUUCUCUUCUUGCCUGCUUUGAUUCUCAGCUGCCCAGUUGCUUUUGUCUGCUUCCACUAAUCCAUACAGCUGCUCUUUAGUCUCUUAUUUCUCCAGUCUUUUUGUAUUGUCCUUCAUUUUCAUCUACAUGUUAUGGGAGAGACACAGCUAAGUCAAUUUACAGAGUCACCUACAUUUUUUUCAUCCUACCCUUUUACAUAAGAGAGAGAAAAUAAUCCAGGAGCCAUAUUAUCACUUUUAUGGAAUAUUAUAACAACGUAUCCACUUGUGCUGUUUGAAUUUUUUCUCUCGCCACAGAUGGGCCUGUUCUUGUUUAGCUUUAAAGUGAUCUCGAAUAGCUUCCUCAGCUCACUUUUGUUCCUCUUCAGCCUUAAGAAUAUCCUGUUCAGCAAUAUGUCCUUUUAAAUAAGAAAGUGUCCAAUUGUAUUUACUGACAAGCCUCUAAAUCUUGGUAAAGAGACGAUGGUCAUACUAUGUCAACUGAGAGCAGUUUCUAGGUAUUUGAGGGCAGACAGUGUCCCAUAGCCAUAAUGCAUAUCCUUGCCAGUAUUCAGGAUAAUUUGGUCUGGAGAGCUAUGGGGCCAGGAACUCAGCUCUGCAGCAUCCAUGUAGAACAUUGCACUCCUAAACCUAGCAUAACUCGACAUCUGGGACUUCCUCUAUCACUGGAGAACCCCCAAGUAGCAUAAGGGUGGGAUAGCAGCUCCUUUGCCACCACCUCCCAAACCUCCAAGAACAGGAGCUGUGAAGAGUGGAAAGGAGAUGUAUCCUGAGCUUUGGUAAUCCCAACAAGCCCCAGGCCAUUGGCAGCUGCAGUAAUUUAGCUCAGCCCUGAGCCUGCUUCUCGGGAUCAGACUAGCAACUCAAGAAUUAGGGGCAUGAAAGUACUGUCCACCUUUGUGCUUAUCUCUCCACCCAAGCUGAGAUGACCUCCAGUGAGUAACAAGGAUGUGGCUAAUGGUUCUUACUGGACAGCUAUAUUUAAACUGUACUCAGUUCCAUAAAAAGUUGUUUUAAACAUGAAUCACCCCAGCUACCUGUGUCAGUAGUGAAGCACCUGCACUGAGAAGCCUCUCGCUUUUCCUAGGAUGUCCUGUUGCUUCUUAGAACACUUGUCUAAAAAGUACUUUGCUCCCCACUCUGCCUAAGUACAUUCAGACCUGUCGCUGCAAAGGUGUUCAGCAGGUACCAUCUCUCAUGUUUUUUGUAAGUAUACAGAGGGGCAUAUUUCAGACUUUAGCACUUUUUUUGUGUUCACACUGCAUUUGUGGCCACAACCUGGCUAACAAUAUUGGAAUAUCUAGCCUACUAACAGAAAAACAUGAAAAAGUAGACUUUUCUUUCCAUAUGGCCUGACACAAAGCACCCUCUUUCUGAAAAGGCUAGAGUGCAUACAAUGUAUUUAGUAAAUUGCAAAUCAGCACUAAACAGCAGAUGCAGUUGACUGUAACAGAGAACAGCUGCUGUGCUGAGAGUGGGGUUGUCUAUUUAUAAUGGAAGAAACUGAUGAAGAAGUAAAGGAGUAUUUCAUACACUUACAUCCUAAACUUACAACUCUAGGUACACCUUUUCCUAGGGGGAGUUAAGCUGCCAUGCUCAUCAAGGUGAGAAUAUAUGUUUGAUUUUUUUCCCAACAUAUUAGAAAGGGUGAUGAUCCACAACGUUAUUGCAUGGCCUACCACUGUGCAUGUUACCACCUUACUGAAAAUACUGGGCUGACUUUAAAAAUAAAAAAUGAAGCAGGAAAGACAUGACAGAAUGGCAUAGAAGAAAUUACCUUAAACAGCAAACCUGAUUUAAAAUGGCAGGUGUAGGUGCCUGGCUUCUAUCAUGUUUAAGUCUAGAACUGUGAUUCAGCAAUAUCUAUCGAGUUAGGCUUUUGUGUCAACCCAGUGAGUGAUUUGGGGAAAGGAGAAGCUUGAACUAAUAGUAAUAAUAGUAAUAACCUAUAAGAUAAUAAAUAGCCUGUGCAUACAGAGAUUUUUUUUUUUAUUUAGAGGGUUAUAUUUAGUUAAGUAUGCUUAUUAGUAAGUUAUAGUGUCUAUAUUCAAAUUGUUGUUUUUUUAUUAUAUAUAUUCUUCAUAUAUUGAAUGUUGUUGUAGGUAGGUGGAAUGCAUUUGUUGCUAUUUAAAUAAAAUCCCUAUUUUUUUGAACAGCCAGUUGUAUUAUCUUGUCUACCAUUAAUAAAAUUUAUCAAGGUGUAACACGCACUCCAGCUCUCACCUGCUGAGUAAAUUAUACCACCACUGUAAAUUAUACCACCACUAAAUCUUGAUCAGUGGUUUUGGGACAGUGUGACCCUCGGAUGCAUUUAAAUUAUAACACACUAACUGUACUUUGUGAGGUCAGUUAUCUACACGUGUGCACGGGAGAGUGUGCAAGUAUCUGUGCGUAUGCAUCACAGAUUUCCCAUCACUCUCCUAGUUAAUCCCUCUCUAGUUCCCACCAUCUUCCACACUUACCCGAGGCUCCAUUUUGCAGUCCUUACCUUGUCCCCCUCCAUCCUUCCUCUGGCUUCUCUCUCCAGUCUCCAAUUUCUCCUCUUUCCCCUGACUAAUCUCUCCAGUCCCUACCGUUGUUCUCUCUCUCAUCCUCUGGUCUUGGAGGACUGCAAUAGUCCUAGAGAGUAAACAGGCAGUUCACUUAACUGGAUUGUCUAGCCUGAGCCCUUCCUGCUCUGGUUCCAACCCAUUAUGGAAAGAAUUGCUAAAUAAUUGUGUCUUGGCUAAUGCCCUGAGUAAGAAAAAUGCCCCAUUCUUUGUGUUUGAAGAACCAUCUUUGUGUGUGAGGUUGGGAGCGCUGAAAUUUUUUUGAGAAUGUGUGGGUAAAAAUUAUUAAAAAAUGAGCCAUGGGGACAGGGAGAUAAUAAGCCCCAAGUAAUGAUUUAAUGAAGUGGUAAAAGAAAUUUUGAAUCUGACACAUUUCAGUUUUUCAGAAAAAUUCUCUAUAUCCCUAUUUUAAGCAACACAAUUUGCAAACAAAUCAGUUGUUCCAAGCAAAAAUUAGCAGGAUGGAGAAGAAAUAGGUUUGGAAUGGAAGAUUAGAUAUAAACGGUGCCUACAUUAUAAAAGUUAAAGAACCAACUCAACCAAAGCAAAGAAAUUACAAGUUAAAAAGCUCUACUUUCAAGUUGUUUGGACCUUGCUUCUAUGUUAUAGUUACAAUAGGGAUAUAAUGUGAUUCAGAAUGUGUGUAUUAAAAAUACACAUUUACAUGUAGAGAUUGUUCUUUUUUAAAUGGCAGGAUUUUUGUUAGAUAGUGCCAAACAAUAUUCUUUGCUGUCUUUUGCGUCUGUGCUGUCUUUGCAGCAGCAGUUGAUCAAAGGGUGGGAUUUACAAUGCUGCACAUACUCUCCUGCUGAUAACACUUAAACUUGUGCAAAAACAAAUACAAGGAUAUGUUACCACAAUAUGGCUCCUGCUGCACUAGAAAUACAGGCAAAUUAAAUUUUUCCCAAUCGAUCAAAGCACUUAAGCAUAUGCUGACCUUUAAACAGUGAAUAGUUCCAUUUAAGUCAUCAGAACUAUUGUGUUCAUGUUCUGAGUUGCUAAGCAUGUAUUGAAGUGUUUUGCUGGAUCAGGGCCUUAUAUUGCAAGCUGUGUAUAUCUGUAGUCAUCUACAUUAAGCAUUACAUGUUUGCAAUCAAAUUUCCAAUACUGACACAUUAAACAUAGUAGAAUAGAAUUUAUAUAAAUGUAUGAUUCAGAUUUUUUAAAAUAAAAUUUUGUACUAGACAGCAUGUUUGUAGGGAAACUUGCAGUGAUUGGUCUGUAAGCAUCUAACCCUUUUUCAUAGACUUCAAGGCCUGAAAGAAUCCAUUAGGAGCAUCUAAUCUGACCUACUGCAUAAAAGCAUACAGACCAUUUAGUACCACAGUAAUUCCUGUAGCAAGCUUGUAACUGCUGCUUGAAUUAUGGCAUAUCUUCUAAAAAGAUAUCUAGUCUUAAAUUAAAGACUUCAAGUGAUGGAGAAUCCACUAUAUACCUUGAUAAAUUGUUCCAGUGUUAAAGAUUUACACCUUAUUUCCAGUUUGAAUUUAUUUAAUUUCAACUGCCAGUUACUGGACCUUGUUUAUGCCUCUUGUGUGCUAGAUCAAAGAGCCCUCUUCUUCACAUGUAGGUGUACUUACACACCAUGAUCAAGUCACCUCUUAGUUUUCUAUAUAAUAAGAUGAUGAUAUAUUUUUACACAGAACCUUGUAAAAUGGCAUAUAAGCUGAGUAUGUGCAACAUGUUCUUUUUGCUGUAACUGUUUUACUUUUUGCAUGUAUUUUUGUACGCAGAAUAACUUAGUAAUGAAAUAAUUUAGUGAUGAAGUGGGUUCUAGCCCACCAAAGCUUAUGCCCAAAUAAAUUUGUUAGUCUCUAAGGUGCCACAAGGACUCCUCGUUUUUUUUAGUAAAACUAUGUUAAUGAAAGCUGGGCCUACUGUAGUUAAAGUUGUGUAACAGCAGCAAGGUAGUUAUUAGUUUGUUGCAAGAGUUGAUUCAGAUUUUAAGAGAACAGAGAAGAAAUUAUAUACUGAUAAUGAACUAGUGCUCUAGAUGCUGAUUGAUUAAAUUCAGGAGUGGAAUCUGAAGAAAUAUUUCAUGUGGAAUGUGAAAUUUGUAUCAAAGUAUUUUUAGCAAUACUAAAUGCUUUUUUCAUAUCUUUGUUUUGUUAUUUAGUAUUUGAUUCUCAUGCAUUUCCUACACUUUUGAAAAGUAUUUAUUUAGCAUCUUUUGAGGAUAAUUUUUUUCCUUAGUGCUCUGAUUAUAACAAUGCAAGAAGCCAAAUGCAGCACUUUACAGUGUACUCGAGUAGCUGUAAAAGAUUGAACUUGAAACCUACAAAAUUGAAACUAAAAUAUUUAUUUUUUUUAAUAUGAGCCUUAUAUAAAGUAAGGUUCUACACUGGUUAUACAGAGUACAUCAUUCAGUUCUGCCUCUAUAUUUGAUUUAACAUAGUGACUUUAGUAAAAUACAACUUUUAAUGUUUAGGAAAAUACACUUGGAUCCCUAUCAACUUUCCAUAUAGUAAUUAUGGCUUUUCUAGUUCCUUUCAUGGGUUUCAUACAACAUGGAUCAUUUACCAAUUUAUUGGACUUCUUUUUGUAAAGACUCCAAAGAGUUAUUUUUACCAUGUAAAACCAAGUCUUCCCUUAGUUUGCUGGAUGUUACCAUUGGUAUUUAGCUCUUUUACUUCAGUAGUGUUACAAUUAUAAGAAGGUAGCUGAGUGCCAUUGAUAUCUCGUGCUUGGUAACUAGGUCUUAUUCCUCCUCUUUCUUUGUAAACUGGUCCAUGGCCGCCACCUGCCCCUUCCUUUGCUGCUUUGAGGAGAGGAUAAAUAUUUCGGGCUGUCUUGGAUUCUGAAUCAAUUACUUGAUUUGCAUAUUCUUGAAAUUCCUGCUCCUUGCAAAUUGCAAUAACUUCUUUCUGGGCCUCAUAGUUCAAUUCUGCUUGUUUCUCAUGCUGUUCUUUUGCCCGUUUUUCAGCCUGUUUUGGAGAAGGGAAUAACAAAGCUUAAAUAUUUUGACAUGGUUAACUUGUGGUAGAAUAGCUUAACAGGGCAUAAAGUCGUGGAAGUCCUUAUGUGACAUUUUUUAAAAUAAUUGUCUGUAAAUACCUUUCUGAUAAAAACAAUUUAUUUGUUAAUCACAAUCUAACUCUAGUUAGAAAUGCAUAACUGACAUUCUCCGUUUGUCCAGAGAAUAGGUACAAAGUGAGCAGUAACCAUGUGCUAGCAAUGUCCCUGAAUACUGAUUCAGAGAGACCAUUAUCUGCAGCUGAAAGGCUACCUCAAUCAACGUCAUUCAUUCAAGUCUUGACUGCUCAGUUAAUUCUUAUCCAUAUGGUUGCCAAUUUGCGCAGACGAUGCUAAACUAUCCCUAGAUUUUGCAUAUCCAUGUACAAAAUCUGAUUUUUGGGAACCUAGGCAGACUGCAGUACUCCCAUAACAUAUUUGUAUAGUUAGACUUUGGCAUCUGAGCAGGGGAUGGAGUGCUUGUCACUGGCAGAUGGUUUCGGCAGCUGAGAGGGGAUUGGACAAUGGUAGUAGUCGUGGGCCUAUGAAGGGUUGAGCCUCAAUGUUGAUGUUAUUAAGGUGAUGGGGCAGCACAGCAGGCUAGGGAAGUGUCCCAAAAGCAUGGGGCCUUGUGAUGAUACAUAUUUGGCAUACUGCUAGUGUUGGCACUGGUAGGGGAUUUUGUGAUACAUGUCCACUGACAACUGGACUGAGACACCAAAUGCUAUUUUAUAUAAUCCAACCUAACAGCCAUCAUCAGAAGGGGACAUCUUUCAGUCGAAACUGGGCUUGCGUCACACAAGGUGUCUGGAGAUGAAAGGAUCUAUAUCCUACUGCCAAUCCUGUGAACUAACGAUUUCACCACUCAUGUAUAUAAACUCUGCUUCACAUUCCCACCCUUGCGCUGUGAAGACACUGGUCCCUGAGAAACAACUCUUGAAGCAUUAUGUUUAAAGGGAUAAAAAUAAUUUUCUCAUGUUUCUCUUGUUUUGAACAGCACUGUGAUAAUAUAAAGAUUAGGUCUCAUGCAAGACUCCUAUACCAUAGAUGUAUGCUGAAAUAGUUUUGUAAAAUGUCUGACAGUCUGAUAAUCCCCCUAGUUACCAUUUGCUGGAUAUGAGUCUCUUGCAUUUUUAUGUUUUCAUUGCGAUUUCUUCGUUUCUUGUCUUUCUCCAUUUCCAGAUAGAUGCGGUCUGCUUCCAUUAGUUCAUGAAGCUUUUCUUUACCCUCUAAUCUUGCCUCUCUUUCUCUCUCUCCUUUCAUUUUUAUCUAUAUUUUAUAAAAAAAAUUUAACUCAAUUUGCUAAACCAACGAAUUUGAAAAACAUAUUUUUCAGGCAUAUUUUAUCAUUCUACAGGCAAGUGACACUAAAAAAACCAAAGGCCCAUAAUAUUAAGAAGCAGUGAAACAUCAGCAAAACAUUUCCAAAAUCUAGUAAUUCCACAAACCUACGAGAGUUUUCCCUCGACUCCAAAGCUUUACAUAAUUUUUCUCAGUAUUUCCUAAUUUUAUCAGUGAUUGAUUAACGAUGUAAUGUCAGUCACCUGUCAAUAGCCAACCAGAGUUGCUUGGAAAAUCCCCCAAUGUUUCCUUAAAAUGCUAAUUUCAUUAUAACAGCAAUUUUCAAACUGGCCAGUACAGCACUUACUGGUGGUCCUCAGAGACCUAUCUUGUGACAUGGUUCUGGUUACCCCAUUGUUUUCAGAUACUAAUUUCCAUUGAAAGUUGGUUAACAAAAAAUCAUUACUUUUACUUUUCCACAUAAGCAACUGUUGUAGAUGUUAUGAAAUCCAAAGCAGGAGGUACUUUGGCUGCACAGUUGUGAACAAGAGAGGUUAUUCCCCUGUUCAGAAAUGCAGUUAACAGCAUGAAAAAUGUUGCAAACCCUGCACUAUGUAUUUACACGUACACAUAAAUGCUUUGUUGAGAGGUCUUUACUAUGCUGGUAAAGAAGUCAAGGACCCAAGGAUUUUUAAUACUUUACUUGCUCUCUAAACCUGGUGAUUAACACAUCACCCAGUAAGAGGCCAUAGCUUUGUUGAGCCCAUGAGUUUUAGUGGGUUGUAGUCAAAUUGCCUGGAAUAAGCUGUGCUUCAGGUCCUCACCCUUGAGGGUUGUGAGAGGCUAGUCCCCUAGGAACAGCUCUUGAAUCUUCAAACUGCUUGAGUGGUAUGCUAGUG